UCCCUGGUGGUCCGGUGGCUAAGACUCUGCACUCCCAAUGCAGGGGCCUGGGAUUGAUUCCUGGUCAGAGAA
This 72-nucleotide transfer RNA is filed under the name Bos taurus (domestic cattle). It matches the Rfam family "tRNA". From Rfam's summary of the family: Transfer RNA (tRNA) molecules are approximately 80 nucleotides in length. Their secondary structure includes four short double-helical elements and three loops (D, anti-codon, and T loops). RNAcentral also lists the same sequence under 2 other names. The record is from Rfam by way of RNAcentral. Lineage: Eukaryota; Metazoa; Chordata; Mammalia; Artiodactyla; Bovidae.